Molecule: transfer RNA, 75 nt
Filed under: Candidatus Daviesbacteria bacterium RIFCSPHIGHO2_01_FULL_43_17
Lineage: Bacteria; Candidatus Daviesiibacteriota
Also listed under: 2 other names
Description: tRNA-Thr
Rfam family: tRNA
About the family: Transfer RNA (tRNA) molecules are approximately 80 nucleotides in length. Their secondary structure includes four short double-helical elements and three loops (D, anti-codon, and T loops).
Source: RNAcentral
GCCGAAGUGGCUCAGUGGUAGAGCAGCUCCAUGGUAAGGAGCAGGUCGCGGGUCCGAUUCCCGCCUUCGGCUCCG